CCUACGGGCGGCAGCAGUGGGGGAUAUUGGACAAUGGGGGAAACCCUGAUCCAGCGAAGCCGCGUGAGUGAAGAAGUAUUUCGGUAUGUAAAGCUCUGUCAGCAGGGAAGAAAGAAAUGAGGGUACGUGACCAAGAAGCCCCGGCUAACUACGUGCCAGCAGCCGCGGUAAUACGUAGGGGGAAAGCGUUAUCCGGAAUUACUGGGGGUAAAGGGAGCGUAGACGGUGAUGCAAGUCUGGAGUGAAGGGCGGGGGCCCAACCCCCGGACGGCUCUGGAAACUGUGUAACUUGAGUGCAGGAGAGGUAAGCGGAAUUCCUAGUGUAGCGGUGAAAUGCGUAGAUAUUAGGAGGAACCCCAGUGGCGAAGGCGGCUUACUGGACUGUAACUGACGUUGAGGCUCGAAAGCGUGGGGAGCAAACAGGAUUAGAUACCCCUGUAGUC
RNAcentral lists this ribosomal RNA (443 nucleotides) under uncultured bacterium. RNAcentral describes it as "partial 16S ribosomal RNA". It matches the Rfam family "Bacterial small subunit ribosomal RNA", at positions 338 to 795 of the family's 1533-position model. The record is from RNAcentral.